UGCAUCAUUAGUUCCAUCACCUGUGACUGCAACCACAUGACCUUUAUGCUUCAAGCAUUGUACCAUAAGAAGUUUGUCAAAAGGAGAUGACCUGGCCAUUACAAGGAUUUUGUCAACUUUUUCCAUUCUCUCUUCAGAUUAUUGUAGCCGAGCCCAUUGUCUCGCAAGAAGAUAGUUUUCUGACCAUAGCAUUAUCAGCCAUCAUGCAUUUCAUUGAAUAAGCCAGAGUUAGAGUAACAGCCAGAGUGUUCCCUGUGAAGUACCGAAUCAACAUAACAAGAAGAACAAGUGCUGCCACCAACAGACCAAUCUUCCCUAUAUAAGAAGUUAGCUUGUUGAGGCGUGCUUGCAAUGGCGUCUCCUCAUUCAAGUCACGAUUUAUAGAACUCAUCAUCUCACCCCAUGCAGUGUUCAUGCCCACAGAAGUGACGAGCAUGAAACCAUAGCCAUCCGUGACCUUUGUGCCUGAUAACAUAAAGGGAUUCCCUUGAUUGAUCUCAAUGUGGUCACUUUCACCAGUCAUGCUAGACUCAUCCACCUUCAAAGAAUGCCCUUCCAAGAAUAACCCAUCAGAGGGAACUUGAUCACCAAUCUUUAAGCACACAAUAUCACCCACAACAACAUCAAAUAUCGAUAUAGGUUGGCGCCUCCUAUCUCUCACAACUUCCACUGUUAUAUCACUACUCUUUGUUGAAAGCUUCUGAAAUUGCUUUGAUUGUUUAAAGUCACUCACUGCAGACACAGCAACCACCAAAAAGACAGCAAGAAUAAUACUCCCACCAUCAUACCACCCAUCUUCCCAGCCAUCUUGCUUGAUCCCAAAGCCAAGAGAGAGCACAGCACAUGCCAAUAAUAUUAAAAUAGUCGUAUCUUUAAAUGCAUCGAACACAAAUCUUAGAAACAUUUUUGGUGGUGGUUUUUGGUAUUUGUUGGCACCAAAGACAUCCUGUCUAUGAAUAAGAUCAGCCUCACAGCCAUUGAUACCGUUUUUUACAUCAGUUUCAAGAAUUAAAGCAAGUUCUUUAACCCCGCCAAACUCACUCAAAGACUCAAAGUUUUUGUCCCUUACCGUAUCGCGGAGCUUCUUUGGAUCAACAGUAAGCAAAGAAACGGGUUUGUUGUCACGUGGGGAGUCCUCGUUGAUACGCUGCACGUCAAUGGCAACGUAGGAAAGGGUGCGCAAGAGAGAGCCAUCCUUGUCAAGGACUUUCUUGGACAAAGAAAAAAGGAGCCUGGUGAAAGAUAUGGCCGUGAAAGCCAUCCUCCAUCUCCGUUUGUGGGUCUUGGAGACUGACCACAAGUCUUCUUGUCCUUCAUCACCUAUCUCGCUAGGCUUUCGAAACCUCAAAGUAGACAUAACAAUGAAACCUAAUAGAUAUUAGAGAGUGAGUUUGUUACUGUGUACUCGUAGUCCAAGAAGAACAAAUAAGGUUUUUUUUUUUUUUUUUUAAUGAAAAUACAAAUAGAGCUUGGGAUAAUAAAAGGGUUUGAGAGAGAGAGAGAGAGAGAGAGAGAGAGCCAAUGCUAAGAGCUUAUGGUGAAUUGUACGGUGUGUGACAAUUUUCUUUGUUUAUAUAUAGCGUAAGCUAAGAAGUUUCACUGUAGGUUCUUAAUAAUUUCUGUGAUAGAUCUUACUACGCGUUAUAUGGUUAUAUGUAACUUUCAUGAAAUUUACAAGAUAAGAUUACUCUGUGUAAUAUGUAACUUUCCUGGAAUUUACAGGAUAAAAUUACUCUGUGUAAUAUGUAAUUUUUUGUAAUAUAAGCUCUUUAAUAAUUGAGUUA
Molecule: long non-coding RNA, 1784 nt
Organism: Quercus robur (English oak)
Lineage: Eukaryota; Viridiplantae; Streptophyta; Magnoliopsida; Fagales; Fagaceae
Exons: 3
Source: RefSeq, a predicted model, not a curated record